AUGUGUCCUCGGGAGCACUUUUCCUAUUAUAAGAGUUUGUUCCGGCUUGUCCUUUGCUACAAAAGGAUUGGGCCACCUUGCUGCACUUUAUUUACUGUUGUUACUUGUUGCUCGUUACAAUUUAUCCUAUCACAAAACUAUCUGUUACCACUUAUUUCAGUACUUGCAGAGAACACCUUGCUGAAAACCGCUUAUCAUUUCCUUCUGCUCCUUGUUGGGUUCGACACUCUUACUUAUCGAAAGGACUAUGAUAGAUCCCCUAUACUUGUGGGUCAUCAAGACUCUUUUCUGGCGCCGUUGCCGGGGAGUGUAGCUCCUUUGGUAGGUGGAAUUUGGUAA
RNAcentral lists this ribosomal RNA (339 nucleotides) under Triticum aestivum (bread wheat). RNAcentral's name for it is "partial small subunit ribosomal RNA". The record is from RNAcentral. Lineage: Eukaryota; Viridiplantae; Streptophyta; Magnoliopsida; Poales; Poaceae.